UACAGGGGGUGCAAACGUUGCUCGGAAUCAUUGGGCGUAAAGCGCACGUAGGCGGUUCGUUAUGUCGGAUGUGAAAGCCCUUGGCUUAACCGAGGAAGUGCAUCCGAAACUGGCGAGCUAGAGUACGAAAAGAGGAUCGCGGAAUUCCCGGUGUAGCGGUGAAAUGCGUAGAUAUCAGGAGGAACACCGAUGGCGAAGGCGGGUCUCUGGGCCGAUACUGACGCUGAGGAGCGAAAGCGUGGGGAGCGAACAGG
RNAcentral lists this ribosomal RNA (254 nucleotides) under uncultured bacterium. Its description in RNAcentral is "partial 16S ribosomal RNA". It matches the Rfam family "Bacterial small subunit ribosomal RNA", at positions 524 to 776 of the family's 1533-position model. The record is from RNAcentral.